This 215-nucleotide non-coding RNA is filed under the name Latilactobacillus curvatus. RNAcentral describes it as "Lactobacillus curvatus T-box". It matches the Rfam family "T-box leader". From Rfam's summary of the family: Uncharged tRNA acts as the effector for transcription antitermination of genes in the T-box leader family. T-boxes are found upstream of many aminoacyl-tRNA synthetase genes and some amino acid biosynthetic genes usually in Gram-positive bacteria. Lineage: Bacteria; Bacillati; Bacillota; Bacilli; Lactobacillales; Lactobacillaceae. The record is from RNAcentral.
AUAAAGCGAUUGAAAAGCGCAGUAGAAUUAGUAACCACUAUUACAGAGAGUCGGGAUUUGGUGAGAUCUGACAUAUGUUUCUAAGUCGAAUUACACUUUUUGUUUUAUCAAAUCGUACGUUGGAUUUACGUUAAAAUCUAGAGUGAUAUUUUGAAAGUGCACUUUCAAAAUAUAACACGGGUGGUACCGCGAAAAAAUGACAGUUCGUCCCAGUA